Molecule: long non-coding RNA, 635 nt
Organism: Nerophis ophidion (straightnose pipefish)
Lineage: Eukaryota; Metazoa; Chordata; Actinopteri; Syngnathiformes; Syngnathidae
Exons: 2
Source: RefSeq, a predicted model, not a curated record
UCCACGCGCCGAGGACGGCAAAGGUAGCGGUUGAAAUGGAACUCCUUCUCCAGUUCCACCAGUUGUCCGCUGGUGUACGCCGUGCGGGCCCGCUUAGAUGACACCGACGAGCCGCCGGUGGGACUCUUCUCUCCGCCACUGCCGGUCUCGCCACCGCCCGACGCUGCCGAGAGACAAAAGAAGACAUCAGCAGAAGAAACAAGACUUGCUGAAACGUGUCCGAGACUGUAGUGGCAUUUUCAACCGUUUUGUUGGGACGGAUCUGACUUGACCGACAACCUGGCAGUCAAGUCAUCAGAUACUGAAACCCUCUUAGCAAUCCAACCUCCAACCCGUUUUGGUUCCUGUUUUCUUCCUGGUGGCACCAGCAGCGAGAGGAGGUGAUGGAUGCAUGCGCAGACUUGCAACAUCCUAACGAAUGGAACUUUUGUACUUUUUAUCAAAUUUUUAUUAUUUUGGAAAUGCAUCGCCAUUUUCCAAGAGUUUUGGAUAUUAAGAUUAGAUGUGAUGUUUUUAUCCAGGAGGACUUUAAGAAUUUUUGUGACAAAAUGUGCAUGAAAAAGUCAGGUUUUCUGUAUUAUUAUUUAUAUUGUAUUUUCUCCCAAAGACAAUUAAAAACGCUAUGAUUGACGAUG